Non-coding RNA from Acanthosepion pharaonis, 95 nucleotides. The record is from the annotation of a GenBank genome assembly. Lineage: Eukaryota; Metazoa; Mollusca; Cephalopoda; Sepiida; Sepiidae.
CGUUGAAACACCAGUUCUCGUGCGAUCAACGACGUUAAGCAAUGUCAAGCUUGGUCAGUACUUAGAUGGAUGACUGAUUGGGAAUAGCAGGUGCU